GAACGCUGGCGGCAGGCCUAACACAUGCAAGUCGAGCGGUAACAGGAAGGAAGCUUGCUUUCUUUGCUGACGAGCGGCGGACGGGUGAGUAAUGCCUGGGAAAUUGCCCUGAUGUGGGGGAUAACCAUUGGAAACGAUGGCUAAUACCGCAUGAUGCCUACGGGCCAAAGAGGGGGACCUUCGGGCCUCUCGCGUCAGGAUAUGCCCAGGUGGGAUUAGCUAGUUGGUGAGGUAAUGGCUCACCAAGGCGACGAUCCCUAGCUGGUCUGAGAGGAUGAUCAGCCACACUGGAACUGAGACACGGUCCAGACUCCUACGGGAGGCAGCAGUGGGGAAUAUUGCACAAUGGGCGCAAGCCUGAUGCAGCCAUGCCGCGUGUAUGAAGAAGGCCUUCGGGUUGUAAAGUACUUUCAGUGGUGAGGAAGGGAGUGUGGUUAAUAGCCAUAUUCUUUGACGUUAGCCACAGAAGAAGCACCGGCUAACUCCGUGCCAGCAGCCGCGGUAAUACGGAGGGUGCGAGCGUUAAUCGGAAUUACUGGGCGUAAAGCGCAUGCAGGUGGUUUGUUAAGUCAGAUGUGAAAGCCCGGGGCUCAACCUCGGAGUUGCAUUUGAAACUGGCAGGCUAGAGUACUGUAGAGGGGGGUAGAAUUUCAGGUGUAGCGGUGAAAUGCGUAGAGAUCUGAAGGAAUACCGGUGGCGAAGGCGGCCCCCUGGACAGAUACUGACACUCAGAUGCGAAAGCGUGGGGAGCAAACAGGAUUAGAUACCCUGGUAGUCCACGCUGUAAACGAUGUCUACUUGGAGGUUGUGGCCUUGAGCCGUGGCUUUCGGAGCUAACGCGUUAAGUAGACCGCCUU
RNAcentral lists this ribosomal RNA (857 nucleotides) under Vibrio metschnikovii. RNAcentral describes it as "bacterial SSU rRNA". It matches the Rfam family "Bacterial small subunit ribosomal RNA", at positions 31 to 875 of the family's 1533-position model. Lineage: Bacteria; Pseudomonadati; Pseudomonadota; Gammaproteobacteria; Vibrionales; Vibrionaceae. The record is from RNAcentral.